Molecule: ribosomal RNA, 372 nt
Filed under: uncultured bacterium
Lineage: Bacteria
Description: bacterial SSU rRNA
Rfam family: Bacterial small subunit ribosomal RNA
Source: RNAcentral
GACGAACGCUGGCGGCAGGCCUAACACAUGCAAGUCGAACGCCCGUAGCAAUACGGGAGUGGCAGACGGGUGAGUAACGCGUGGGAACGUGCCCUUCGGUUCGGAAUAACUCAGGGAAACUUGAGCUAAUACCGGAUACGUCCGUAAGGAGAAAGAUUUAUCGCCGAAGGAUCGGCCCGCGUCGGAUUAGCUAGUUGGUGAGGUAAUGGCUCACCAAGGCGACGAUCCGUAGCUGGUCGAGAGGAUGAUCAGCCACACUGGGACUGAGACACGGCCCAGACUCCUACGGGAGGCAGCAGUGGGGAAUAUUGGACAAUGGGGCAACCCUGAUCCAGCCAUGCCGCGUGAGUGAUGAAGGCCUUCGGUUGUAAG